Molecule: long non-coding RNA, 367 nt
Organism: Marmota flaviventris (yellow-bellied marmot)
Lineage: Eukaryota; Metazoa; Chordata; Mammalia; Rodentia; Sciuridae
Source: RefSeq, a predicted model, not a curated record
AUGAUGUUCUGCUCACCAAUGGACUAAGACCUCUGAAACUGGAAGAAGCGCUGCAUUCCUGUGGUCCUGGCUCACUCACUGCUGAAGCGCUCUCACACACUGAGCAGCACCCACUGUUGUUCAUGCUCCUUCUUUGGUCUGCAUCGCUUAUCUCCCUGGACCAUCCUGUGCUGCUGCAUUUGCCUCCUUAAAUAGGCUGCUGGCUGGAGGCUCUAUUUCCAGCCUGGAAUUCCCCCUUCCAUUGACGUCAAGUCAUUCUAAAUCUUUUUUUUUCCCCCCAAACAAUGGAGAAAUUCAAAGAUGGAGGGGAAUGGAUGUUGACUCAGAUUGAAUCAGCUGUUUUACAAUUAAAUGUAUGAGUCUAAUG